GACGAACGCUGGCGGCGUGCUUAACACAUGCAAGUCGAACGGAAAGGCCCUGCUUUUGUGGGGUGCUCGAGUGGCGAACGGGUGAGUAACACGUGAGUAACCUGCCCUUGACUUUGGGAUAACUUCAGGAAACUGGGGCUAAUACCGGAUAGGAGCUCCUGCUGCAUGGUGGGGGUUGGAAAGUUUCGGCGGUUGGGGAUGGACUCGCGGCUUAUCAGCUUGUUGGUGGGGUAGUGGCUUACCAAGGCUUUGACGGGUCGCCGGCCUGAGAGGGUGAACGGCGACAUUGGGACUAAGAUACGGCCCAGACUCCUACGGGAGGCAGCAGUGGGGAAUAUUGCACAGUGGGCGGAAGCCUGAUGCAGCAACGCCGCGUGCGGGAUGACGGCCUUCGGGUUGUAAACCGCUUUCGCCUGUGACGAAGCGUGAGUGACGGUAAUGGGUAAAGAAGCACCGGCUAACUACGUG
Molecule: ribosomal RNA, 468 nt
Filed under: uncultured bacterium
Lineage: Bacteria
Description: partial 16S ribosomal RNA
Rfam family: Bacterial small subunit ribosomal RNA
Source: RNAcentral